AUUUUCUGGAAAGAAUAAUGUGCUACAAGAUCAUAAAAUCUCAGGACCAAAACACAUUCAUAAUAAUUCAUAAUCAAACCCUAAACAAACCCUAAAUCCAUAAUUCAUAAUCAAACCCUAAACAAAUCCUAAAUCCAUAACCGCAGACAUACCCUAAACAAACCCUUAACUCUAAUCAAAGUACAAACCAUAGCCCCAAACACACAUGACAUCUAUUUAUUCACUAUUUUUAUGUACAUUGGUCACUAAUUAUGUACAUCCGUCCACUAUCUUUACAAGAUGUUUUAACACUAAUUUAGAGG
RNAcentral lists this long non-coding RNA (302 nucleotides) under Brassica napus (rape). RNAcentral describes it as "long non-coding RNA (BNAP_LNC020410)". Lineage: Eukaryota; Viridiplantae; Streptophyta; Magnoliopsida; Brassicales; Brassicaceae. The record is from RNAcentral.